GCGGGGCACGGCCCCUCUUUUUGGACCCAAGGUCGGCUUCAGCCGACCGAUCCGGGUGAAAGACGUUGUCAGGUAGGGAGUUUGGCUGGGGUGGCACAUCUGUUAAAAGAUAACGCAGGUGUCCUAAGAUGAGCUCAACAAGAACAGAAAUCUCGCGUGGAACAAAAGGGUAAAAGCUUGUUUGAUUCUGAUUUUCAAUACGAAUACGAACCGCGAAAGCGUGGCCUAUCGAUCCUUUAGACCUUCGGAAUUUGAAGCUAGAGGUGUCAGAA
Molecule: non-coding RNA, 272 nt
Filed under: Gossypium arboreum
Lineage: Eukaryota; Viridiplantae; Streptophyta; Magnoliopsida; Malvales; Malvaceae
Description: Eukaryotic large subunit ribosomal RNA
Rfam family: Eukaryotic large subunit ribosomal RNA
Source: Rfam by way of RNAcentral